UACGUAGGGUGCGAGCGUUAAUCGGAAUUACUGGGCGUAAAGGGCUCGUAGGCGGCCAACUAAGUCGGACGUGAAAUCCCCAGGCUCAACCUGGGAACUGCGUCCGAUACUGGAUGGCUUGAAUCCGGGAGAGGGAUGCAGAAUUCCCGGUGUAGCGGUGAAAUGUGUAGAGAUCGGGAGGAACACCGGUGGCGAAGGCGGGUCUCUGGGCAAUUCCUGACGCUGAGGCGCGAAAGCGUGGGGAGCAAACGGG
Molecule: ribosomal RNA, 253 nt
Filed under: uncultured bacterium
Lineage: Bacteria
Description: partial 16S ribosomal RNA
Rfam family: Bacterial small subunit ribosomal RNA
Source: RNAcentral